RNAcentral lists this transfer RNA (71 nucleotides) under Caudoviricetes sp. RNAcentral describes it as "tRNA-OTHER". It matches the Rfam family "tRNA". From Rfam's summary of the family: Transfer RNA (tRNA) molecules are approximately 80 nucleotides in length. Their secondary structure includes four short double-helical elements and three loops (D, anti-codon, and T loops). The record is from RNAcentral. Lineage: Duplodnaviria; Heunggongvirae; Uroviricota; Caudoviricetes.
GAAACAGGUAGCUCAGUGGUAGAGCGUCACAUUUCCGUGAAGGUUACGAGUUCGAAUCUCGUACUGUUUCU